RNA transcript from Mandrillus leucophaeus (drill), 2961 nucleotides. It is a transcript of the gene named zinc finger protein 626-like, with no coding region annotated. The transcript is spliced from 7 exons. Lineage: Eukaryota; Metazoa; Chordata; Mammalia; Primates; Cercopithecidae. The record is from RefSeq and is a predicted model, not a curated record.
AUGUUAGAGAACUACAGAAACCUGGUCUUCCUGGGUAUUGUUGUCUGUAAGCCAGACCUGAUCACCUACCUUUGGCCAGAGCAGAGCAUAAAAGAUACUUUCCAAAAAGUGAUACUGAGAAGGUAUGAAAAAUGUGGACAUGGCGAUUUACAGUUAAAAAAAGGACCUGAAAGUGUGGAUGAGUGCAGGGUGCACAAAGAAGGUUAUAAUGAACUUAACCAGUGUUUGACAACUACCCCGAGAAAAAUAUUUCAAUGUGAUAAAUAUGUGAAAGUGUUUCAUCAAUUUUCAAAUUCAAACAGACAAAAGAGAGGACAUACUGGGAAAAAACCUUUCAAAUAUAUAGAAUGUGGCAAAGCUUAUAAGCAGUUAUCAACUCUUACUACACAUAAGAAAAUUCAUACUGGAGGGAAACCCUACAAAUGUGAAGAAUGUGGCAAAGCCUUUAACUACUUUUGCAGCCUUACUAGACAUAAGAAAAUUCACACUGGAGAGAAACCCUACAAAUGUGAAGAAUGUGGCAAAGCCUUUAAGCACUCCUCCACUCUUACUACCCAUAAGAGAAAUCAUACUGGAGAGAAACCGUACAAGUGUGAUAAAUGUGGCAAAGCCUUUAUGUCAUCCUCAGCCCUUAGUAAACAUGAGAUAAUUCAUACGGAAAAGAAACCCUAUAAAUGUGAAGAAUGUGGCAAAGCCUUCAACCGGUCCUCAACCCUUACGACACAUAAGAUAAUUCAUACUGGAGAGAAACCCUACAAAUGUGAAGAAUGUGGCAAAGCCUUCAACCAGUCUUCAAACCUUACUGUGCAUAAGAUAAUUCAUACUGGAGAGAAACCCUACAAAUGUGAAGAAUGUGGCAAAGCCUUUAAGUACUCCUAUAACCUUACUACACAUAAGAGAAUUCAUACUGGAGAGAAACCCUACAAAUGUGAAGAAUGUGGCAAAGCCUUCAAGCGGUCCUCAGACCCUGUCUCUUAUACACAUCUAGAUGUUCACCCUGGCCAAAAAAUAUUUCAAUGUGAUAAAUAUGUGAAAGUGUUUCAUCAAUUUUCAAAUUCAAACAGACAAAAGAGAGGACAUACUGGGAAAAAACCUUUCAAAUAUAUAGAAUGUGGCAAAGCUUAUAAGCAGUUAUCAACUCUUACUACACAUAAGAAAAUUCAUACUGGAGGGAAACCCUACAAAGCCUUUAACUACUUUUGCAGCCUUACUAGACAUAAGAAAAUUCACACUGGAGAGAAACCCUACAAAUGUGAAGAAUGUGGCAAAGCCUUUAAGCACUCCUCCACUCUUACUACCCAUAAGAGAAAUCAUACUGGAGAGAAACCGUACAAGUGUGAUAAAUGUGGCAAAGCCUUUAUGUCAUCCUCAGCCCUUAGUAAACAUGAGAUCAUUCAUACGGAAAAGAAACCCUAUAAAUGUGAAGAAUGUGGCAAAGCCUUCAACCGGUCCUCAACCCUUACGACACAUAAGAUAAUUCAUACUGGAGAGAAACCCUACAAAUGUGAAGAAUGUGGCAAAGCCUUUAAGUACUCCUAUAACCUUACUACACAUAAGAAAAUUCAUACUGGAGAGAAACCCUACAAAUGUGAAGAAUGUGGCAAAGCCUUCAAGCGGUCCUCAGACCUUACUACACAUAAGACAAUUCAUACUGGAGAGAAACCCUACAACUGUGAAGCAUGUGGCAAAGCUUUUAAGUACUCCUCUAACCUUACUACACAUAAGAAAAUUCAUACUGGAGAGAGACCCUACAAAUGUGAAGAAUGUGGCAAAGCAUUCAGGCGGUCCUCAGACCUUACUACACAUAAGAUAAUUCAUACUGGAGAGAAACCCUACAACUGUGAAGCAUGUGGCAAAGCUUUUAAUUACUCCUCUAACCUUACUACACAUAAGAAAAUUCAUACUGGAGAGAAACCCUACAAAUGUGAAGAAUGCAGCAAAGCCUUUCACCAGUCCUCACACCUUACUGCACAUAAGAGAAUUCAUACCGGAGAGAAAUUCUACAAAUGUGAAGAAUGUGGUAAAACCUUCAAGCAGUCCUCACGCCUUACUACACGUAAGAUAAUUCAUACGCGAGAGAAAUUCUACAAAUGUGAAGAAUGCAGCAAAGCUUUUAAGCAGUUCUCUAACCUUACUACACAUAAGAAAAUUCAUACUGGAAAACCCUACAGAUGUGAAGAAUGUGGCAAAGCCUUUGAGCGCUCCUCUAAACUUACUACACAUAAGAGAUUUCAUACUGGAGAGAAACCCUACAGAUGUGAGUAAUGUGGCAGAGCUUUUCACCUAUCCUCACACCUUACUACACAUAAGAUAAUUCAUACUGGAGAGAAACCAUAUGAAUGUGAUGAAUGUGGAAAAGCUUUUAACCAGCCCUCAAUUCUAACUAUGAGAAUUGAAAUUCAUGCUGAAGAGGAACUCUACAAACGUGAAAGGUGUGACAGUGCUUUUAUCAACACCUCCAUCCUUUCUAGACAUAAAAAAUUUAUAUUAGUGUGAAACCCUAGAAAUAUAUAAAAUGUGAAACAACCUUUAUAUGGUUGCCAUUUUUGAUAGUAAGAUAAUUCAUACUGGCAAAAUUCCUACAAGCAUGAAGAAUGUGGCAAAACUUUUAGUCAGUGUAUACACCUUAUUUCGCAGGAAAGCUAGUAUCCUUGAGAAAAAUUGUACAAAUAUAAAGAAUAUGGAAAACCCAUGAAUGCCUACUCACAUCUUACUCAACAUAAGAAGGUUCAUAGUUAAUAAAAGCAUUAAAAGUGCAAUUACUGUCAAAAAGUCUUUCAGAAAAUAUAAGCCUUUAAAGUGAAGAAGAGUGUUUAUUCUGAAGACAACCAUUACAAAUUUAGAGGGGGUUUAUUGCACACAUUUUGUACUAGAGGAAAACCCUGAAGCAGUUGCUGCAGCUUUGCUCAAAUCAGGGAACUUAUAUUGGAGAAGAGUCUUGCAAAUGUAAUGAAUUUGGAA